RNAcentral lists this ribosomal RNA (192 nucleotides) under uncultured bacterium. RNAcentral's name for it is "partial 16S ribosomal RNA". It matches the Rfam family "Bacterial small subunit ribosomal RNA", at positions 340 to 524 of the family's 1533-position model. The record is from RNAcentral.
UACGGGAGGCAGCAGUGGGGAAUUUUGGACAAUGGGGGAAACCCUGAUCCAGCCAUGCCGCGUGAGUGAAGAAGGCCUUCGGGUUGUAAAGCUCUUUCAGCCGGAAAGAAAUGGUUACGGUUAAUACCCGUGACUAAUGACGGUACCGGAAGAAGAAGCACCGGCUAACUACGUGCCAGCAGCCGCGGUAAU